Molecule: ribosomal RNA, 775 nt
Filed under: uncultured Neocallimastigales
Lineage: Eukaryota; Fungi; Neocallimastigomycota; Neocallimastigomycetes; Neocallimastigales
Description: partial large subunit ribosomal RNA
Rfam family: Eukaryotic large subunit ribosomal RNA
Source: RNAcentral
UAUGUGAUCGUCUCUCGCAUAUCAAUAAGCGGAGGAAAAGAAACUAACAAGGAUUCCCCUAGUAACGGCGAGUGAAGCGGGAAGAGCUCAAAUUUGAAAUCUUAAAGGGUUUCCCUUUACGAAUUGUAGUUUAAAGAAGUGUUUUCUGUUGAGGUUUUGGUAAAGGUUCUUUGGAAUAGGACAUCAUAGAGGGUGAGAAUCCCGUAUUUGACCUUUACUUUCAACUUUGUGAUACACUUUCAAAGAGUCGGAUUGUUUGGGAAUGCAGUCCAAAAUGGGUGGUAAAUUUCAUCUAAAGCUAAAUAUUGGCGAGAGACCGAUAGCGAACAAGUACCGUGAGGGAAAGACUGAAAAGAACUUUGAAAAGAGAGUUAAACAGUACGUGAAAUUGUCAAAAGGGAAGCGUUUGACACCAGUGUUGUUUUUCUGAAAAUCAAUUAAAGAACUGUUUAUGCUAAGUUGUUUAGACUUUAUCAGCUAUCUGUUUAGUUUUGAGCUUUUCUUUAAUGCACUUUUCAGUUAACAAGUCAACAUCAAUUUCUUUUGCUGUAAAAAAGCCUGAGGAAGGUGGCUUGAGAUUCGUCUUAAGUGUUUAUAGCCUCUUGCCUAUGCAGUCGGAGAGAUUGAGGUCUGCAGCGUAGAUCCUUCGGGGCUAAAUGCAUUUGUGCUAAGUUAUAGCAUUUUAUAGACAACUUGUUGACUAUGAUUUGUCUUGUAGCUUACUCGCUUAUGUUAUUUUACCUACGCUUAGGAUGUUGACACACGCGCGUGCUCG